UGCAUCUUUAGCUCAGUUGGAUAGAGCAACAGCCUUCUAAGCUGACGGUCAGGGGUUCGAAUCCCUUAAGAUGUGA
Molecule: transfer RNA, 76 nt
Filed under: Cylindrotheca closterium
Lineage: Eukaryota; Bacillariophyta; Bacillariophyceae; Bacillariales; Bacillariaceae
Description: tRNA-Arg
Rfam family: tRNA
About the family: Transfer RNA (tRNA) molecules are approximately 80 nucleotides in length. Their secondary structure includes four short double-helical elements and three loops (D, anti-codon, and T loops).
Source: RNAcentral